GUGGGGAAUCUUGCGCAAUGGGCGAAAGCCUGACGCAGCCAUGCUGCGUGAAUGAUGAAGGUCUUAGGAUUGUAAAAUUCUUUCACCGGGGACGAUAAUGACGGUACCCGGAGAAGAAGCCCCGGCUAACUUCGUGCCAGCAGCCGCGGUAAUACGAAGGGGGCUAGCGUUGCUCGGAAUUACUGGGCGUAAAGGGCGCGUAGGCGGACAGUUUAGUCAGAGGUGAAAGCCCAGGGCUCAACCUUGGAAUUGCCUUUGAUACUGGCUGUCUUGAGUACGGGAGAGGUGAGUGGAACUCCGAGUGUAGAGGUGAAAUUCGUAGAUAUUCGGAAGAACACCAGUGGCGAAGGCGACUCACUGGCCCGUUACUGACGCUGAGGCGCGAAAGCGUGGGGAGCAAACAGGAUUAGAAACCCGAGUAGUCC
This 425-nucleotide ribosomal RNA is filed under the name uncultured bacterium. RNAcentral's name for it is "partial 16S ribosomal RNA". It matches the Rfam family "Bacterial small subunit ribosomal RNA", at positions 354 to 796 of the family's 1533-position model. The record is from RNAcentral.